Molecule: non-coding RNA, 73 nt
Organism: Ameiurus melas (black bullhead)
Lineage: Eukaryota; Metazoa; Chordata; Actinopteri; Siluriformes; Ictaluridae
Source: the annotation of a GenBank genome assembly
UCCUCCGUUAGUAUAGUGGACAGUAUCUCCGCCUGUCACGCCAAGACGCCCGGGUUCGAUUCCCCGGGGGGAG